RNAcentral lists this ribosomal RNA (253 nucleotides) under uncultured bacterium. RNAcentral's name for it is "partial 16S ribosomal RNA". It matches the Rfam family "Bacterial small subunit ribosomal RNA", at positions 524 to 776 of the family's 1533-position model. The record is from RNAcentral.
UACAGAGGUCCCAAGCGUUGUUCGGAUUCAUUGGGCGUAAAGGGUGCGUAGGUGGCGCUGUAAGUCGGGUGUGAAAUUUCGGAGCUUAACUCCGAAACUGCAUUCGAUACUGCGGUGCUUGAGGACUGGAGAGGAGACUGGAAUUUACGGUGUAGCGGUGAAAUGCGUAGAUAUCGUAAGGAAGACCAGUGGCGAAGGCGGGUCUCUGGACAGUUCCUGACACUGAGGCACGAAGGCCAGGGGAGCAAACGGG